GCACGAUUACACUCUCGAGAGUUUCGUACAUAAAGUUGAUGAUUACUUAAACAAAAUAAAGAUGUGGGAUUGUCGGUAUAGAACUGAUGAGUACCAGGCCAAACCGUAUAGUUAGUUUUUGAAAGGAUCUUUCAAAGGUUUGGGUAAAGAUCUUUCAAAGCUUUGGGUAAAUGAUGUUUACACGUAAUACACACGGCCAAGGUAAAUAAAUAUCAUUUUUGAACCAAAAAAAAAAAACACACAUUUCAGAUGUCGGCCAAGAAAACAAAAAAAAACAAAAAUAGAGUACGUAGUUAGAUAAUUAGAUAUGUUGAAAUAGCAAGGCGACAAAAGGAAGAAAAAAAAAGAAAGUGUAAAGGGAUUAUAAUGGUGGUGGUGGUGUAGAUAGAUAGAAAGAUGCAGGUCUAUUGUCUUUCCAAAUCCUCUUUUAGUUUGGCC
RNAcentral lists this long non-coding RNA (438 nucleotides) under Capsella rubella. RNAcentral describes it as "long non-coding RNA (CRUB_LNC001084)". The record is from RNAcentral. Lineage: Eukaryota; Viridiplantae; Streptophyta; Magnoliopsida; Brassicales; Brassicaceae.